AGAAGACAGGUGGCCACAGAGAGGGAGGGGGGGGAGUUACUCUGAAUUAAGUCAAACUGCACAGACUGAGGGACACUCCUGUGAGCGGAGCACAGGCUCCGUAUUUUCCAGCUCCAGUGCGACAACUUUCAUCCCAGAGCCUGGAAAUGAAACUACAAGACAUCUCUCUUUCCUACCAUUGAUGUUGGCACAGGUUCAGAGUGCAGGAGCUUCCAGGUGAGGACCAG
Molecule: non-coding RNA, 227 nt
Organism: Lepisosteus oculatus (spotted gar)
Lineage: Eukaryota; Metazoa; Chordata; Actinopteri; Semionotiformes; Lepisosteidae
Source: RefSeq, a predicted model, not a curated record